This 197-nucleotide ribosomal RNA is filed under the name Escherichia coli. RNAcentral's name for it is "partial 16S ribosomal RNA". It matches the Rfam family "Bacterial small subunit ribosomal RNA", at positions 1 to 205 of the family's 1533-position model. Lineage: Bacteria; Pseudomonadati; Pseudomonadota; Gammaproteobacteria; Enterobacterales; Enterobacteriaceae. The record is from RNAcentral.
AAAUUGAAGAGUUUGAUCAUGGCUCAGAUUGAACGCUGGCGGCAGGCCUAACACAUGCAAGUCGAACGGUAACAGAAAGCAGCUUGCUGCUUUGCUGACGAGUGGCGGACGGGUGAGUAAUGUCUGGGAAACUGCCUGAUGGAGGGGGAUAACUACUGGAAACGGUAGCUAAUACCGCAUAACGUCGCAAGACCAAA